UCUCAUCAAGUGUUAAAGAGUUCUCAUCAUUCAAUAAUAAAAAAUAAAAAAAAAAAACAAUAAAAAAUUCUCUUAACACAAAAACUCAAAAAAAAAUCUUUCUUUCAAUAAAAUGGCAAGCAAGAUUGUUAUUGUUGCCCUCCUUUUGGUCGCCAUUGUUGGUGUUGUUUCAGCUGGUCCCGCUGCUGAAGGUGCUGCCAAAACCGGUGCUGCCAAAACCGAUGCUGCAACAACCCCUGCUGCCGCCGCACCCGGUGAUGAUGCUGCAGGUGCACCAGGAGACGCUGAAGGACCAUCCGGUGGUGCAUCAUCAACUGAGCAAGGCCCUUCUGCUGAAUCACCAACUGCAGCUGCAAGCGGUGCUACUGUUUUUGAAAUCUCAACUAUUGGCAUUGCAGUUUCUGCAGCGGUCACCGGUUAUUUUAUUUAAAUUUUUUUUAAUUUUCUUUAUUUAAAUCUAUAAUUUAAAAAAAAAAAAUUGAGCAAACGUUUCACUUUUGUUUUCUCAAUAUUUAUUUCAAAAGAAAAUUUUAAUUUCCUUCAAUAUCUCAAACAAGCUAUGUCUUCUUGUAAUAUCAAUUAGCUAGGGAAAUACAUUCCAAUAUAAGUUGCAGUCACGAAUAUUAGAAUAAAAUUUUUUUUAUUGAAUGCAAGUCUCCUUCAUUUCAUACUCAUUGAUCGCAGAGUAUUUAUCAUAAAAAUAAAAAUAAAAAAAAAAACAUGGUAAAGAGCAAAAUAUUUCUUGUUGUGUAAUCAAUUUGAGAAAAUUCUAGCCAAUGCUAGGCUUUACUUGACCA
This 797-nucleotide long non-coding RNA is filed under the name Jatropha curcas. RNAcentral describes it as "long non-coding RNA (JCUR_LNC000291)". The record is from RNAcentral. Lineage: Eukaryota; Viridiplantae; Streptophyta; Magnoliopsida; Malpighiales; Euphorbiaceae.